AGCUAGAAACAAAACGACUGACCACUGAGAGACGCAAACAACUGCCUCUCCGCCAAAUCCCUCUCUCUCUCUCUCUGUCUCUCUUUUCGGUUCAUUUGUUUUCUUAUUUUUUCACUUGCAACAAUUAUUUUCUCUUGGUUGUAGCGUGAAGCGUCCCUGUCAAAAAUAUUUAAGUAUGAAGGCUAACGGUGGCAACAUAAAAGAGUAUUAAGGUUUGAA
RNAcentral lists this unclassified non-coding RNA (219 nucleotides) under Hevea brasiliensis (rubber tree). The record is from RNAcentral. Lineage: Eukaryota; Viridiplantae; Streptophyta; Magnoliopsida; Malpighiales; Euphorbiaceae.